UCAAGUACCAGAUUAACAAUCGCUCCUUCCACAGGAGGUAUCAGAAUCAGAGGCUCCUGCAACUUAUUCUAUUAUCUUUCAAUGCCCCUUGGCAAUCAUUGGUUCACCUGACCGUUUGAUCUCUUUUCUUGAAUAGGUUCCCACGUGGCUGUUAGAUGAGAUGUGAACCAUGACAGGUAGUUCAAUCUAUCUAUGAAACCACGAACCUCUCCUUUAUGUUCUCGGUUC
Molecule: long non-coding RNA, 228 nt
Filed under: Lathyrus oleraceus (garden pea)
Lineage: Eukaryota; Viridiplantae; Streptophyta; Magnoliopsida; Fabales; Fabaceae
Description: Pisum sativum (pea) long non-coding RNA (PSAT_LNC008325)
Source: RNAcentral